UGUACAUGUAUAUCAAAUUGCUUACAACAGGUUGGAUUAGAGGGCUUUACCUUUAUCUUUGGAGAACUCUGUCACCGCAGACCCUUGUCCUCUAUGCAGUUUUGCUUGCUACAGGAAAACAUAUAUCUUCUAUCUCAAAUUCCUGUCAUGAGUGGAGCAUGCCAAUGACAUGAGAAACUGCAGCAAAAUCAGAAAUACAAAAUGAUCAAGAUAUUUAUUUUUGAUUACACACUGUUUAAUCAAGUGGUGUGGAAAAGACAUCCAAUAAAGAGGAGCUAUUUUGCUAUUUGCCACUUCUACUUUGAAUUUUACCAACCUCUCUUUGUGUCAAUGUUUUUCUGUGUACAAGUUCACCCAGCAUGUGCUCUCACAUGUGUUUCCCUAUACUGGUUUCCUUCCAAGUUUGUCUUCUCCUUUGUGCAAACUUUAAAAUAGGAAAUAAGGACAUUGGGUGUAUCAAAAAUCAGGUAUUUCUGUAAGUUCUGAAAAGUACAGUAAAAUACGAAACUUCAGUGUGAUUUCAACUAAUAUUUUUUUAAGUACGUUUUAACUUAUUGCUGUGAAACACUUGUGGCAAUUUGUGUACCAUUUCAGUCGAUCAUUAAAUUACAUUUCAAGUUUUACUAAACAGCUUUACGACAAAAGUUUCUUCUCCUUUAGAAACUGCUAUAAGAGCAUCCCCAGAUAGGUGUUCCAUCUAUUAUUUAGUAGUAAAUACAAUGAAAUGUGUAAGCAUAGUAAUUUUAUUAGUCCAACUGGUGUUUCAGUACUGCUACAGUGAUAUUUUACAUAUUUUGUAAGACUUCAAGUUACAAACCUUGAAUCUUUUUUCAUAUGAAUUACAUAACUUUUAUGGUACAAUAGAGUGUUUGGCAAUUACUUGUUUAUUUAAAAAUAUAUAUAGUUAGAUACUAUGUGUUUGAGUUAGUCUACUUAGACUGAAGCAUUUGGGCAGGGGGAAACUUGGGGCAAAUUAGACCUUUAUUUUUCUAUCCAUGUCUCUUAUGCACAUCAUAAUGUGUUCAGAUUUCUCUUCCCUGCCCUCCCCCUCCCCUGCUUUUUUGCAAGGAGGGAAUUGCAAAAAUUACAUGGGUGACUGUUGCAAGCAUUGUACAGAGAAAAUGUAAAAUGUGAUUGGGAGUCAUAGGAUCUCAAGUCUGAAGGAAUUUUUACACCAUUUAGUCUCACAGGCACACCAUCUAGUUAUUUUUGCAUUAAGGUAACAGUGCUUAUUAUGACUUUAACACAAGAGACAUAAUUUAUAUGCAGAGCUUCUAGCUUUCCUUCAAUUGUACAUUAUUGGUAUAAUCAACAUGUCGAAGUGUGGCAUUCAUUAAAAACAUUUGGGUCUAAUUCAUUCCUCUAACCAUGACUCCUCUGAGGAGCUUAUUGCUCAUAUGUGACUAACGAUGUAGGCAAUGGACACACAGGUGCAAAUUUCAUACUGAAGUAUGGUCCAGUUAAAGGCCUUAGCAAAAAUAAGAAGUGCUUUUACAGUGAAAAGUCUCCAUGUUUUUCAAAUUAUUAUAAAUAGUGUAGAUGAAUUGUGACUCAUCAAUAAAAAUCUCCACACAUA
Long non-coding RNA from Falco peregrinus (peregrine falcon), 1576 nucleotides. RefSeq lists it as uncharacterized. The transcript has 3 exons. Lineage: Eukaryota; Metazoa; Chordata; Aves; Falconiformes; Falconidae. The record is from RefSeq and is a predicted model, not a curated record.